CCUACGGGAGGCAGCAGUAGGGAAUCUUCCACAAUGGACGAAAGUCUGACGGAGCAACGCCGCGUGAGUGAUGAAGGCUUUCGGGUCGUAAAACUCUGUUGUUAGGGAAGAACAAGUAUGAGAGUAACUGCUCGUACCUUGACGGUACCUAACCAGAAAGCCACGGCUAACUACGUGCCAGCAGCCGCGGUAAUACGUAGGUGGCAAGCGUUAUCCGGAAUUAUUGGGCGUAAAGCGCGCGCAGGCGGUUUCUUAAGUCUGAUGUGAAAGCCCACGGCUCAACCGUGGAGGGUCAUUGGAAACUGGGGAACUUGAGUGCAGAAGAGAAAAGCGGAAUUCCACGUGUAGCGGUGAAAUGCGUAGAGAUGUGGAGGAACACCAGUGGCGAAGGCGGCUUUUUGGUCUGUAACUGACGCUGAGGCGCGAAAGCGUGGGGAGCAAACAGGAUUAGAUACCCUGGUAGUCCACGCCCUAAACGGUGGGCAUUAGGUGUAGGGCUCGUAAGGGUUCUGUGCCGAAGGGAAACCAUUAAAUGCCCCGCCUGGGGAGUACGGCCGCAAGGUUGAAACUUAAAGGAAUUGACGG
RNAcentral lists this ribosomal RNA (585 nucleotides) under uncultured bacterium. RNAcentral's name for it is "bacterial SSU rRNA". It matches the Rfam family "Bacterial small subunit ribosomal RNA", at positions 338 to 916 of the family's 1533-position model. The record is from RNAcentral.